Non-coding RNA from Zootermopsis nevadensis, 68 nucleotides. Lineage: Eukaryota; Metazoa; Arthropoda; Insecta; Blattodea; Termopsidae. The record is from Rfam.
CACGGUGGUUUAGCGGUUAGAACGCUGGCCUUGUAAUCCUGGGGUCUCGGGUUCGAUUCCCGGCGGUG